Molecule: ribosomal RNA, 396 nt
Filed under: uncultured bacterium
Lineage: Bacteria
Description: bacterial SSU rRNA
Rfam family: Bacterial small subunit ribosomal RNA
Source: RNAcentral
AACGAACGCUAGCGGUGUGGAUUAGGCAUGCAAGUCGCGCGCGAAAGCCUUCGGGCGAGUAAAGCGGCGAAAGGGUGAGUAACACGUAACCAACGUACCCCUCAGACUGGGAGUAACCACUGGAAACGGUGGAUAAUACCGGAUGGUCCACUGGGCAGCAUUGCCUGGCUGGUAAACGGCGGCCGCAAGGCGGUUGCUGAGGGAGCGGGUUGCGGCCUAUCAGCUUGUUGGUGAGGUAACGGCUCACCAAGGCUAUGACGGGUAACAGGUCUGAGAGGAUGAUCUGUCACACUGGGACUGAGACACUGCCCAGACUCCUACGGGAGGCUGCAGUCGAGAAUCUUCCACAAUGGGCGAAAGCCUGAUGGAGCGACACCGCGUUGCAGGAUGAAGGCC